GUUUUCAUUAAUCAAGAACGAAAGUUAGGGGAUCGAAGACGAUCAGAUACCGUCGUAGUCUUAACCAUAAACGAUGCCGACCAGCGAUUAGGAGACGUUGAAUACAAAACACCACCAUCAGGCAGUGGGAUCGUGCUUCGCUUUUCCGGCAACGGGAAAGUGGAGGCGGUCUCAUUCCCCUGAUGGCCCGGUGAAUGACUCCCCUAGCAGCUUGUGAGAA
This 220-nucleotide ribosomal RNA is filed under the name Acanthamoeba sp. T1_07011. Its description in RNAcentral is "partial 18S ribosomal RNA". It matches the Rfam family "Eukaryotic small subunit ribosomal RNA", at positions 966 to 1096 of the family's 1831-position model. RNAcentral also lists the same sequence under 1 other name. Lineage: Eukaryota; Discosea; Longamoebia; Acanthamoebidae. The record is from RNAcentral.